GACGAACGCUGGCGGCGUGCUUAACACAUGCAAGUCGAACGGAAAGGCCCUGCUUUUGUGGGGUGCUCGAGUGGCGAACGGGUGAGUAACACGUGAGUAACCUGCCCUUGACUUUGGGAUAACUUCAGGAAACUGGGGCUAAUACCGGAUAGGAGCUCCUGCUGCAUGGGGGGGGUUGGAAAGUUUCGGCGGUUGGGGAUGGACUCGCGGCUUAUCAGCUUGUUGGUGGGGUAGUGGCUUACCAAGGCUUUGACGGGUAGCCGGCCUGAGAGGGUGACCGGCCACAUUGGGACUGAGAUACGGCCCAGACUCCUACGGGAGGCAGCAGUGGGGAAUAUUGCACAAUGGGCGGAAGCCUGAUGCAGCAACGCCGCGUGCGGGAUGACGGCCUUCGGGUUGUAAACCGCUUUCGCCUGUGACGAAGCGUGAGUGAUGGUAAUGGGUAAAGAAGCACCGGCUAACUACGUG
Molecule: ribosomal RNA, 468 nt
Filed under: uncultured bacterium
Lineage: Bacteria
Description: partial 16S ribosomal RNA
Rfam family: Bacterial small subunit ribosomal RNA
Source: RNAcentral